GGAAGUAAAAGUCGUAACAAGGUCUCCGUUGGUGAACCAGCGGAGGGAUCAUUAACGAGUUCCAUUCUCCUUAAUACACCCGUGAACGUUUCUUCAACUGUUCGUUGCUUCGGCGGGCGGCCCCGGGGAGGGGCCGCAGCCCGCAAGGGCGCCCGCCGGCGGCAGCGCAGCACAACUCUUGCGAUUUAGGCCCCUCUGAGAAGACACUAAAUGAGUCAAAACUUUCAACAACGGAUCUCUUGGUUCUGGCAUCGAUGAAGAACGCAGCGAAAUGCGAUAAGUAAUGUGAAUUGCAGAACUCAGCGAAUCAUCGAAUCUUUGAACGCACAUUGCGCCCGCCGGCAUUCCGGCGGGCAUGCCUGUUCGAGCGUCAUUUCAACCCUCGAGCCCUGCUCGGUGUUGGGGCCCCGCGGCCGCCGCGGGCCCUGAAAAGAAGUGGCGGGCGCGCCUGGACCCGUAGCGCAGUAAUACACCUCGCUCGCGGCGUCCCGGCGCGUGCCGGCCGUAAAACCCCUUUAUCUCAAGGUGA
This 529-nucleotide ribosomal RNA is filed under the name fungal endophyte. RNAcentral's name for it is "eukaryotic LSU rRNA". The stretch from base 220 to 373 matches the Rfam family "5.8S ribosomal RNA". Lineage: Eukaryota; Fungi. The record is from RNAcentral.